RNAcentral lists this ribosomal RNA (524 nucleotides) under uncultured bacterium. RNAcentral's name for it is "bacterial SSU rRNA". It matches the Rfam family "Bacterial small subunit ribosomal RNA", at positions 791 to 1315 of the family's 1533-position model. The record is from RNAcentral.
UAGUCCACGCCGUAAACGAUGGAUACUAGGUGUCCGGGAUAUUAACCUCCUGGGUACUACAGUUAACGCGUUAAGUAUCCCGCCUGGGGAGUACGGUCGCAAGGCUAAAACUCAAAGGAAUUGACGGGGGCCCGCGCAAGCGGUGGAGUAUGUGGUUUAAUUCGAAGCAACGCGCAGAACCUUACCUACCCUUAACAUUUCACGACGUAUACAGAGAUGUAUAUUUCUCUUCGGAGACGUGAGGAUAGGUGCUGCAUGGCCGUCGUCAGCUCGUGUCGUGAGAUGUUGGGUUAAGUCCCGUAACGAGCGCAACCCUUGUCCUUAGUUGCCAGCACGUAAUGGUGGGACUCUAACAAGACUGCCAGUGUAAACUGUGAGGAAGGUGGGGAUGACGUCAAAUCAUCACGGCCCUUACGCCUUGGGCCACACACGUGCUACAAUGGGCGGUACAGAGAGCAGCUACUGGGUGACCAGAUGCGAAUCUUCAAAACCGUUCUCAGUUCGGAUCGAAGUCUGCAACUCGA